GGAGAAGCGUUUGUAUUCAUUCAGAGUUUUGAUUUCGUUAUCAUUAUUGAUUUGGAACUCACUUAUUGUAUGUUUGAUCAAUUGAAGGCUCCACAAACUAGCAUCAAAGCCUCUAGUUGUUCGAUUGCUUGCUGAUUUUCAAUCCUCGGUGGUCGAAAAUUGGAAUUACUGUGUUUUUCUUGUGUAUCCUAUGCAAUUGAGGCGUUGAUCUGCUAAUUUUGCAAUAAGGACUUGAAUCCUAAAUUAAAUUCACAUCUCUCAUUGUUACAGACCAUUGAUAGGUCCGUUCUGGUGAAUUAGCUAAAGCUAUUUUAAUUACUAAAAUAGCAAGUUAUCGUGUAGGGUGAUCAAUAGGAUUGUAGCCUUACCUAAUGCUAGUAUUUUAGGGCUAUUUUCCUAAAUUGUAAUAUUAUCGUUUUUGUGGC
This 425-nucleotide long non-coding RNA is filed under the name Olea europaea subsp. europaea. Lineage: Eukaryota; Viridiplantae; Streptophyta; Magnoliopsida; Lamiales; Oleaceae. The record is from RNAcentral.